GGUUGUGGCUCAGUGGUAGAGUGCUUGCCUAGCACAUGUGAGGCACUGGGUUCAAUCCUCAGCAGCACA
Molecule: transfer RNA, 69 nt
Filed under: Marmota monax (woodchuck)
Lineage: Eukaryota; Metazoa; Chordata; Mammalia; Rodentia; Sciuridae
Description: tRNA.Ala
Source: RNAcentral